UAGGGAAUCUUCCGCAAUGGGCGAAAGCUUGACGGAGCAACGCCGCGUGAGUGAUGAAGGUCUUCGGAUCGUAAAACUCUGUUAUUAGGGAUGAACAAAUGUGUAAGUAACUAUGCACGUCUUGACGGUACCUAAUCAGAAAGCCACGGCUAACUACGUGCCAGCAGCCGCGGUAAUACGUAGGUGGCAAGCGUUAUCCGGAAUUAUUGGGCGUAAAGCGCGCGUAGGCGGUUUUUUAAGUCUGAUGUGAAAGCCCACGGCUCAACCGUGGAGGGUCAUUGGAAACUGGAAAACUUGAGUGCAGAAGAGGAAAGUGGAAUUCCAUGUGUAGCGGUGAAAUGCGCAGAGAUAUGGAGGAACACCAGUGGCGAAGGCGACUUUCUGGUCUGUAACUGACGCUGAUGUGCGAAAGCGUGGGGAUCAAACAGG
RNAcentral lists this ribosomal RNA (429 nucleotides) under Actinomycetes bacterium. RNAcentral's name for it is "Actinobacteria bacterium partial 16S ribosomal RNA". It matches the Rfam family "Bacterial small subunit ribosomal RNA", at positions 355 to 776 of the family's 1533-position model. Lineage: Bacteria; Bacillati; Actinomycetota; Actinomycetes. The record is from RNAcentral.